AUUGUGUCAUCAACGCGGCAUGCACGAGGUGUCAUGUGCCUCCCAACAAUUGUGACCGUGCAUCAAUGAUGUAUGUCUUUGACACACGCAAAUGUGCAUGGAGGAGUAUACCACUUCCUUAAGGAUCUACAGUAGACAAUUAUGUCUGAAAAGCAUUGUGUGUGCAGGGCAGAAUAAUCCCUGCACCAUUGCAGGGGGGUGGGUAGUCCACCCCAGCUCCUCAAAUACAUUUAAAGCACUGGAUUACUCUUUCAACUCCUUGACAGAUUUUUGGUUGUUUACACAUACUGAGGGAGAUCCAUUUGGAAGCAUAAUAUUAUAUUUCCUAUGGCUGCAUUAUUUCAUUUUUGAGGCAUGCAGUGCACUUUAGGGCAAAAUGAUCCCUGCACCACAAUCUAUACCUCUAAAACACUGGAUUAAUUUUGUUUGUGACAACAUCUGGAUUUUUGGCAUUUACUGAUAUUCUCUGAGGACAUAAACGGGCAAGGAUGAGAAGAAGGUAUGGUCUUGUGCUAGAAUCUGAAAUGCAAUGUGUGCACUACAGGGCAGAAUAACCCCUGCACUAUUGCAGGGGGGCUGGGUAGUCCACCCCAGCUCCCCAAAACAUAUUUUAAGUACUGGAUUACUCUUUCAGCGGCUUGACACCUGGAGUUUUGGGUGUUUACAUGUACUGUAGGGGGGUUGGGUAGUCCACCCCAGCUCUCCAAAGGACAUAAUCACAUCAUGAAAGUGUUGGCCUUCCAAACCUGCUGGCCUAUAGGAAGCUAUGGACAGAGAUUCAGCUUCAAGAGGGCUGUGACAUGGACUGCAUCGGAGGAACAGUAAGAUCGUCAGCAGAACAGACCAUCCGUCAAAAAUUGGAACCUUGGAAGAUCCUGAGUUUUACUCCCCGAGUGGAUCUUUUUCGUCAUCCAGGAUUUCUACACUUAGAAUCUCCAUGCUGCUGUGGAUAGGGGCUGUAGACCAUCAUUGUGAGCACCAUCUGCUUCAGGGAGGAGCUACUGGUGCACAUUCAGCACUGGCUGCAGAAGGGGUUUCACCACAGCUUCAUGGAUGCAGGAUGUGCAUAUGCUUUUGCACAUGGGAGUACAACAUUGCAGUGGCUGGAUGUAUUGAGCCACAGGUGCAUUCUGGGGCAGAAUAAUCCCCGCACCUUGGCAAGGGGGGCUGGGUAGUCCACCCCAGCUACUCCAAACCAUUACACCUGAAAUGCUGGAUUCUUUUGCACUUUUUGAUACCUGGGUUUAUGGUCAUUACAAUGAGGGAAACAAAUGUUACAAAGAUAAGGAUCUAUGUAGUUGAGUCUGAAAAGCAAUGUGUGCACUACAGUGCAGAAUAAUCCCUGCACCAUUGCAGGGGGGCUGGGUAGUCCACCCCAGCUCCCUAAACAGUGAUACAGUACAUCUGAAACACAGGAUUACUGUUUCAGCUUUAGUUUUCUGUACAUGUACUGAGGAGGGAGAUCAAUGUUCAAGCAUUAUGUGGAUAUUAUGUUUCCUAUGGCUGUAUUUAUUUGUGAGGCAGUGAGUGCACGUCAGGGCAGAAUAAUCCCUGCACCACUGUAGGAGAGUUGGGCAGUCCACCCCAGCUCUUCAAAUCUAUAGAUUCUUCUAAAAUAUUUUUUAUAGAAUAAUCCCUGCACCAUUACAGGGGGCUGGGUUGUACUAAGGGAGAACCUUGUUCAAGCAUAAGUGGAUAGUAUAUUUCCUGUUGCUGUAUUUUUUUCCCGAGGCAGUCAGUGACCACAUUUUAGGGCAGCAUAAUCCCUGCACCACUGUAGAAGGGCUGGGUAGUCCACCCCUGCUCCCCAAAAGACAGAAACCUUUUCAGUUUUGCAACAUGGAAGUGAUGGCCUUCCAACACUGCUUGCCCAGAAGAAGCGAUGGACAGAGAUUCAACUGCUACAUACAGGCCUGAGACAUGCAUUACGGGAACAGUAAGGAACCAUUCAAAUAUGGGAGGACAACAUUGCAUUGCCAGGAUUUGUUGAGCCACAGGUGCAUUCUGGGACAAAAUAAUCUGGGGGCCAUCCACCACAGCACCUCAAAAUCAUGGAUACCCCUGACCCGGAUACCUCAUGUUCCAUGGCACCUGGAUUUGCACUUGUAGGACUGCUGGAGGUUAAUUAAUUAAUUGUUAGUCUUUUCCAGCAAUGUGUGCACUAAAGGGCAGAAUAAUCCCUGCACCAUUGCAGGGGAGUUGGGUAGUCCACCCCAGCUCCCCAAAACCAUAUAGGUACUUUUGAAGUCGUUUGCCAUUGAUGAUGUCUGGAUUUCAUGUUCACUAAAGGAUACAAAAGACCAAGAAUGGAGAUAUGUAAAUUUGUAGUUGAAUAUGCAAUGUGUGCACUACAGGGCAAAAUAAUCCCUGCACCGUUGCAGGGGGGCUGGGUAGUCCACCCCAGCUCUCCAAAACAUUAAUACACCAGAAGCACUGGAUUAUUUUUUCAGUUCCACCUGGAUUUCCAUUUGGAGCUCCAUUUGCAAGUGUAAGAGGAAGUUUGAUUUUCUCUUUGUAGGCAAUGUGUGCACUACAGGGCAGAAUAAUCCCUGCACCAUUGCAGGGGGGUUGGGUAGUCCACCCCAACUCCCCAUCCUUUCGUAAUUCCAAGGAUUAUUAUUAUUGAUAUAAAUAAAUUCA
This is a long non-coding RNA of Alosa alosa (allis shad), 2640 nucleotides long. RefSeq lists it as uncharacterized. The record is from RefSeq and is a predicted model, not a curated record. The transcript has 3 exons. NCBI's taxonomy places the organism in Eukaryota, Metazoa, Chordata, Actinopteri, Clupeiformes, Clupeidae.